RNAcentral lists this small RNA (104 nucleotides) under Halpernia humi. Its description in RNAcentral is "Chryseobacterium humi Flavo-1 RNA". It matches the Rfam family "Flavo-1 RNA". Lineage: Bacteria; Pseudomonadati; Bacteroidota; Flavobacteriia; Flavobacteriales; Weeksellaceae. The record is from RNAcentral.
AACUAGCCCUGAUAGAAGUGGAUAUCCUUUUUUUUAUCGAAAAACUGGCUAAUUAUAAACUAAACGUUCUAAAAAAAAGAUAGGAACGGAUAGCAGGAUUAGCU